CCUACGGGAGGCAGCAGUGAGGAAUAUUCGUCAAUGGACGAGAGUCUGAACCAGCCAAGUAGCGUGAAGGAUGACUGCCCUAUGGGUUGUAAACUUCUUUUAUAUGGGAAUAAAAUGUUACACGUGUGGGUUUUUGUAUGUACCAUAUGAAUAAGGAUCGGCUAACUCCGUGCCAGCAGCAGCGGUAAUACGGAGGAUCCGAGCGUUAUCCGGAUUUAUUGGGUUUAAAGGGAGCGUAGGUGGAUUGUUAAGUCAGUUGUGAAAGUUUGCGGCUCAACCGUAAAAUUGCAUUUGAUACUGGCAGUCUUGAGUACAGUAGAGGUGGGCGGAAUUCGUGGUGUAGCGGUGAAAUGCUUAGAUAUCACGAAGAACCCCGAUUGCGAAGGCAGCUGACUGGACUGCAACUGACACUGAGGCUCGAAAGUGUGGGGAUCAAACAGGAUUAGAUACCCUAGUAGUC
RNAcentral lists this ribosomal RNA (460 nucleotides) under uncultured bacterium. Its description in RNAcentral is "partial 16S ribosomal RNA". It matches the Rfam family "Bacterial small subunit ribosomal RNA", at positions 338 to 795 of the family's 1533-position model. The record is from RNAcentral.